This 253-nucleotide ribosomal RNA is filed under the name uncultured Rhodomicrobium sp. RNAcentral's name for it is "partial 16S ribosomal RNA". It matches the Rfam family "Bacterial small subunit ribosomal RNA", at positions 524 to 776 of the family's 1533-position model. The record is from RNAcentral. Lineage: Bacteria; Pseudomonadati; Pseudomonadota; Alphaproteobacteria; Hyphomicrobiales; Hyphomicrobiaceae.
UACGAGGGGGGCAAGCGUUGUUCGGAAUCACUGGGCGUAAAGCGUACGCAGGCGGAUGACUAAGCUAGGGGUGAAAUCCCGGGGCUCAACCUCGGAACUGCCUUUAGAACUGGUCAUCUAGAGAUCGGAAGAGGAUGGCGGAAUUCCUAGUGUAGAGGUGAAAUUCGUAGAUAUUAGGAGGAACACCAGUGGCGAAGGCGGCCAUCUGGUCCGAUACUGACGCUCAUGUACGAAAGCGUGGGGAGCAAACAGG